Long non-coding RNA from Eubalaena glacialis (North Atlantic right whale), 256 nucleotides. RefSeq lists it as uncharacterized. The transcript is spliced from 3 exons. Lineage: Eukaryota; Metazoa; Chordata; Mammalia; Artiodactyla; Balaenidae. The record is from RefSeq and is a predicted model, not a curated record.
GGAGGUGUGGAAGCUAUGUCGAGGUCUCUUCUGUGUUCUGCAGAGAUGAUUCUUCUAGGAGUGUCUAACCCUGUCUGGGGAAGAAGUGGAAAGGAAGGUCCCUUGAGGCAAUGAAACAUGAGGAGGAGAAGUUUGCCCAAUGGACAAGAUGAGAGAAGGGCAUGCCUGGCAGAAGGCACAGCACAUGCAGAGGCUCAGAGGGGACACGGGUUCGAGCCCUGGUCUGGGAAGAUCCCACAUGCCACGGAGGAACUAA